RNAcentral lists this ribosomal RNA (253 nucleotides) under uncultured bacterium. RNAcentral describes it as "partial 16S ribosomal RNA". It matches the Rfam family "Bacterial small subunit ribosomal RNA", at positions 524 to 776 of the family's 1533-position model. The record is from RNAcentral.
UACGUAGGGUGCGAGCGUUAAUCGGAAUUACUGGGCGUAAAGCGUGCGCAGGCGGUUGGUUAAGUCUGAUGUGAAAGCCCCGGGCUCAACCUGGGAAUGGCAUUGGAAACUGGUCAGCUGGAGUGUGGCAGAGGGGGGUGGAAUUCCGCGUGUAGCAGUGAAAUGCGUAGAGAUGCGGAGGAACACCGAUGGCGAAGGCAGCCCCCUGGGCCAACACUGACGCUCAGGCACGAAAGCGUGGGUAGCAAACAGG